AGCGAACGCUGGCGGCGUGCCUAACACAUGCAAGUCGAACGUGAAAGGGAGCAAUCCUGAGUAAAGUGGCGUACGGGUGAGUAACGCGUAGGUAAUCUACCCCAGAGUCUGGAAUAACCUGCCGAAAGGCGGGCUAAUACUGGAUAGAGCGAUGGAAUCCGUAAUUGGGUUUUUCGGGAAAGGGAGGAAGCAAUUCCCUUUGCUCUGGGAUGAGCCUGCGUCUCAUUAGCUAGUUGGUGAGGUAAUAGCUCACCAAGGCAUUGAUGGGUAGCUGGUCUGAGAGGAUGAUCAGCCACACUGGAACUGAAACACGGUCCAGACUCCUACGGGAGGCAGCAGUGGGGAAUCUUGCGCAAUGGACGAAAGUCUGACGCAGCCACGCCGCGUGAGUGAAGAAGGCCUUCGGGUUGUAAAGCUCUGUCGCCCGGGACGAAAAUCCUAUGAGUGAAUAGCUCAUGGGACUGACGGUACCGGGAGAGGAAGCACCGGCUAACUCCGUGCCAGCCGCCGCCGUAA
Molecule: ribosomal RNA, 516 nt
Filed under: uncultured bacterium
Lineage: Bacteria
Description: partial 16S ribosomal RNA
Rfam family: Bacterial small subunit ribosomal RNA
Source: RNAcentral